Molecule: ribosomal RNA, 403 nt
Filed under: Verrucomicrobiota bacterium
Lineage: Bacteria; Pseudomonadati; Verrucomicrobiota
Description: Verrucomicrobia bacterium partial 16S ribosomal RNA
Rfam family: Bacterial small subunit ribosomal RNA
Source: RNAcentral
UGGGGAAUAUUGCACAAUGGGCGCAAGCCUGAUGCAGCAACGCCGCGUGAACGAUGACGGUCUUCGGAUCGUAAAGUUCUGUUGCAGGGGAAGAUAAUGACGGUACCCUGUGAGUAAUCUCCGGCUAACUACGUGCCAGCAGCCGCGGUAAUACGUAGGGGGCUAGCGUUAUCCGGAUUUACUGGGCGUAAAGGGUGCGUAGGUGGUAUUUCAAGUCGGUGGUUAAAGGCUACGGCUCAACCGUAGUUAGCCUCCGAAACUGGAAGACUUGAGUGCAGGAGAGGAAAGUGGAAUUCGCAGUGUAGCGGUGAAAUGCGUAGAUAUUGGGAGGAACAACAGUAGCGAAGGCGGCUUUCUGGACUGCAACUGACACUGAGGAACGAAAGCGUGGGUAGCAAACAGG